Non-coding RNA from Cervus elaphus (red deer), 72 nucleotides. The record is from the annotation of a RefSeq genome assembly. NCBI's taxonomy places the organism in Eukaryota, Metazoa, Chordata, Mammalia, Artiodactyla, Cervidae.
UCCUUGGUGGUCCAGUGUUAGGACUUGCCACUUUCACUGCCAUGGGCCUGGGUUCAAUCCCCAGUCAGGAAA